UUGUAUCAUGCGUGAGGGAUUGUAGUGGUUACCCCUCAGCCUGACGAAGGAAGUGCGAGGAGUAAAAACGAAAAGCCCGACCUGAA
This 86-nucleotide unclassified non-coding RNA is filed under the name Dokdonia pacifica. RNAcentral's name for it is "Flavo-1 RNA". The record is from RNAcentral. Lineage: Bacteria; Pseudomonadati; Bacteroidota; Flavobacteriia; Flavobacteriales; Flavobacteriaceae.